AUUGAACGCUGGCGGCAGGCCUAACACAUGCAAGUCGAGCGGAUGAAGGGAGCUUGCUCCUGGAUUCAGCGGCGGACGGGUGAGUAAUGCCUAGGAAUCUGCCUGGUAGUGGGGGAUAACGUCCGGAAACGGGCGCUAAUACCGCAUACGUCCUGAGGGAGAAAGUGGGGGAUCUUCGGACCUCACGCUAUCAGAUGAGCCUAGGUCGGAUUAGCUAGUUGGUGGGGUAAAGGCCUACCAAGGCGACGAUCCGUAACUGGUCUGAGAGGAUGAUCAGUGACACUGGAACUGAGACACGGUCCAGACUCCUACGGGAGGCAGCAGUGGGGAAUAUUGGACAAUGGGCGAAAGCCUGAUCCAGCCAUGCCGCGUGUGUGAAGAAGGUCUUCGGAUUGUAAAGCACUUUAAGUUGGGAGGAAGGGCAGUAAGUUAAUACCUUGCUGUUUUGACGUUACCAACAGAAUAAGCACCGGCUAACUUCGUG
This 484-nucleotide ribosomal RNA is filed under the name uncultured bacterium. RNAcentral's name for it is "partial 16S ribosomal RNA". It matches the Rfam family "Bacterial small subunit ribosomal RNA", at positions 30 to 507 of the family's 1533-position model. The record is from RNAcentral.